UUACAGGUGUGUCUGCAGGGAGGACUUCUUCAGCUCCAGGGCUGGAUGCUUGGCCCCAACCCAGCUCCCAUGGCAGGGGUGAGUAGUGUGUCCCUGCUGACCCCACAGGCUGAGCCCUCCCCUUGUGGGAUCCAUUCCUGGGAAAUGGAACCACUUUCUCUUAAGGUCCUCCAAAAGGAAAGACCCAAGAUACUGCAGCCAAAAAGUCUCAUGAGGCAGAUGAAUUCCUGAGAGAAACACAGAAGGAAGCACCCGGAGGACAAGUGAUGGACCAAAAGGCUGUUCAGGAGGAGGAACAGCCAGGGAGAAGCAGUGGCUCAUUGGCAGCCCUAGCUGCAGGAAGGAAGGCAAUGACAGACACGGGCACAGGCACAGCAGAUGCAGCCGGCACCACAAGACCUGUUCCCAAUGCCCAGGAUGGCCUCAGAAGGGGUUUCUGUCAGGGAACAGGCUGCUGGCUACUGUUACUGGCAAGUGUGCUUUGUUUGGGGCUUGUGUUCAUGUUGUACUGCUUUGGAAUCGGGUAUUCCUGGAAGAGAAAACAGUGAGUGUUUUGUUGCUCUCCCCCUCAAACAACAUGUUUUGGAAGUCUAAUUUGGACGGGGAACAUUCCCAUUGAGGCUGCAGUGGAGUUGUGGCCAGUCCAUGAUUGUCCAAACAACUCUGCUGAGGGUUCGGCUGCUGCCCAGUGCUUCCAUUGGCCUCUCAAUUGCUGGGCCUUGU
Molecule: long non-coding RNA, 723 nt
Organism: Passer domesticus (house sparrow)
Lineage: Eukaryota; Metazoa; Chordata; Aves; Passeriformes; Passeridae
Exons: 3
Source: RefSeq, a predicted model, not a curated record